UAGGGAAUAUUGCAAAAUGGGCAAAGCCCGAUGCAGCAACGUCGCGUGGGCGAUGAAGGCCUUCGGGUCGUAAAGCCCUUUUUGAGGGGAUGAGGAAGGACAGUACCCUCAGAAUAAGCCUCGGCUAACUACGUGCCAGCAGCCGCGGUAAAACGUAGGAGGCGAGCGUUAUCCGGAUUUACUGGGCGUAAAGCGCGUGCAGGCGGAUUGGAGAGUUGGAUGUGAAAGCUCCCGGCUUAACUGGGAGAGGUCGUUCAAUACUUCCAGUCUUGAGUGCAGUAGAGGGAAGUGGAAUUCCGGGUGUAGUGGUGAAAUGCGUAGAUAUCCGGAGGAACACCAGUGGCGAAAGCGGCUUCCUGAACUGUAACUGACGCUCAGACGCGAAAGCUAGGGUAGCAAACG
Molecule: ribosomal RNA, 402 nt
Filed under: uncultured bacterium
Lineage: Bacteria
Description: bacterial SSU rRNA
Rfam family: Bacterial small subunit ribosomal RNA
Source: RNAcentral